This 13015-nucleotide long non-coding RNA is filed under the name Nicotiana tabacum (common tobacco). RNAcentral describes it as "long non-coding RNA (NTAB_LNC011144)". Lineage: Eukaryota; Viridiplantae; Streptophyta; Magnoliopsida; Solanales; Solanaceae. The record is from RNAcentral.
AAAAAGAAGACAAUCCGCCCAGGAAAUUGCAGAAAUUUUAUCAACAAGAAAGAUUUAAAAAAUUACGGAAAAUAAGGGUAAAUUACAGAAGAAAAUACCAGAGAAAAUAACGAACUCAGCUGCUUUCCUUUUAAUUAGUGAAAUUCAAUUAUGGCAAACUUUGGUGAGCUAGAUGCGAAUGGAGGAUGGAAAACAGGGACUAGCUUGAACCGCGAACCUCGUCGACAACCUCGAACUCGGGACCUCUCGCACGGGAACUCGCCGGCGACUUCGCCAUGGAUUCUACCAUUUUUAGCGUGAUGAAAGGGCUAUUUUGGAGCUGAUUUUCAGAGCAGUUUUUAGCAGUUUUUUAUCUUCGUUUCGAGAAAAUUUAAACUACGUUUUUUGCUCAAUUUCAUGACUGUUCUUCAGCUUGUUUUGGGUGAGGUUUGGGGCUGUAAUGGGAUGGUUCGGAGGUGCUUUUCGGGUCAUUUUUUUAGUAGCUUUUGGACAUGUUUUGUAGCAUGAUUUUCGCUGCUUUCGUUGCGUUCUUGAACUGGUUUUCUGGUAGAAACAGGGGCUGUUCGGGUAAGGUUUUUUGCGUGAUUUUCCGGUUAGUUUUCGGGCUAAGGGAUGUUGUUUAUGGAGGAGGAAGAAGGCAGCAACAACUGCUGCAUUUUUGGCCGCAAACAGCUAUGAUUUUUCUUUCAAAUGCUGUUGAAAAUCUUGGGUUUUGAGAAUGGCUGAAGCUUUUGUAAUUGGGGGUGAGGGAUUUUUGGUUUGGUUGUUGAUGAAGAAGAUGGAUGGGGGAGGGUGUUUUCUGAUUUUGUUCAGCGGCUUGUCAAUCUCUUUUAGGUCUCUUAGGCGUGUUUUUAGCUAUUUUCAACUGCUAGGUACUUAUAUGCAGAUGUCUAGGGUUUAAUUAAAGGGUAUGGGUGUUGGGCUAAGGGUUAAUUUUGGGACAACGGGGAUUUGGGCUCAAGGGCUAGUCCGAAAUUGGGCCAUUUUCUUGCCCAAAAUUGAGCUAAAAUUGUCUUGAAUUAUCUAACAAUUGGGCUUCUUAGAAGAUCUGGAUUUCAUUAACUAAGGGCCUAAGUUUUUCUUAUUUAAAAUAGUAUAAAGCAUUUAUAAAAAUGUAAAACCACUCCUAAUUAAUUAUAAAAACUAUUAAAGAUAAACCUAAAAUGAAACUAGUUUUGUUUUUGUAUUUUUCAAGAUUAAAAAUGACUACAAAACAUUAAUGAAACUAUUUUUUUGUAAUUUUUGUUUUCUUGUAAUAAAAUAAAAUAAAAGCGUAAAAGUUAGUUGAAAUAGAUAUAUUAGGCCUAAAUUAAAUAUUUACGUGUUAAAAUAUAAAAAAUCUUGGGAAGGGUCAAAAAUCACAUGUCUACAACUGCCCCUCUUUGACUGAAAAUACGAAGUAUUUUUAGACAAAGAACGACUAGAUAAGUUUUUUGACCUGACCCUUAUUUAAAGAGACUAAAAGCUAAAAGAAGAGAGAAUGUGACCGAGCCCUAGUAUCUGAGUUGCCUACAUAUCCUUGGCUGUAAAGGAAUCAGGCCACGUGUAGUUCAGAAGUGAGUGAGAUGAUGGAGUAUACCGAGCUGAAGAGCCGGUCGAGGUGCCGUUCCGCCGAGGUUCCGGUCCGCGGUCCUGUUAUUACAUCAAAAAAAUAAAAAAAAUGGAAAAGACUAGCUAAGCCUAUCAACUACGAGUUACAAGAUUACUAUCUAUAAGUCUUCUGAAGCUUGAUCUUGAGUCUUGAGUGGUUCUUCAUGCAAACUUUAGAUUUGAACCUUGACGCUUGCUAGUUGCAGGUACUAGUUCAUCCUUCUUCAGCUUUUCGGAUCAAGACCAGGCAUGUAGUGCUUGUGACCUCAGCGAUAUCUUGAGCAGCCCACAUCUUUCAUCAACUUCUGCAUUUGGAUUAACUUCUUGCCUUUCUUUUUUUUCUUUAUUAUGACUAACUUCUGUUGAUCACCUCGAACUGUUGACUCGCAUUCUUGCCGCGAGCUUCUUUUGUUGCUAACUUGAAUUGUAUUCUGAAGUGAAUUCUCUUAUUCUCUAGGUAGGUGCCUAAUUGCUGAACUUGAACCGUCUUCCUUUGACCACUGUUUCCUUCCCUUUGUUCUCCGGGUGGGCUCCUGAUUUCAUACAUUUGAAUUAUCUUCCUUUCCUCUGAAACUUGUCUUGUUCUCCCUUUGUUCUCUAGGUGGGCUCCUGAUUUCCGAACUUCCUUUGAACCUUGCUGCUUCCCUUUGUUCUCCAAGGGGCUCCUGAUUGCUAUAUUUCUUUGAACAUUGCUUCUUCCCUUCGUUCUCCAGGUGGGCUCCUGAUUACCAACACUUGCACUACGUUUCCUCGAAACUUGAACUGUUUCCCUUUGUUCUUCAGGUGGGCUCCUGAUUGCUGAACUCCUUUGAACCUCGCUGCUUCCCUUCGUUCUUCAGGUGGGCUCCUGAUUUCUAUCUUCCUUUGACAUUGCUGCUUCCCUUCGUUCUUCAGGUGGGUUCCUGAUUGAUGUCUUCCUUUGAAUGUUGCUGCUUUCCUUCGUUCUCCAGGUGGGCUCCUGAUUGGUGUCUUCCUUUGAACAUUGCUGCUUCCUUUCAUUCUUCAGGUGGGCUCCUGAUUACCAACACUUGCGAUGCUUUUCCUCGAAACUUGAACUGCCUCCUUUUGUUCUUCAGGUGGGAUCCUGAUUGCUGAACUCCUUUGAACCUUGCUGCUUUUCCUUUGUUCUUUAGGUGGGCUCCUAAUUGCUGAACACUUGCAUUGCUUUUCCUUGAAACUUGAAUUGCUUCCCUUGAAACUUGAACUGCUUCCCUUUGUUCUCUAGGUGGGCUCCUGAUUUCCAACACUUGAACUGACCCCUCUGAAACUGCUGCUUGUGAACCUGAUUACAACAAAACAAACAAACAAAAAAAAAAUCUGCCCCAGUUUGAUAUUGGGAACAUCUGUGAGUGUUAAUCAAAUCAUAAUACCCAAAAGCUCUAAGAAUUUAAAAUCUAAAUCCCAUUAUCCAUGAGGGUCCUGAAAAUUAAGAAUUAAAUCUCAUCUCAAGAGUGACACCUUCAAAGCUAAAUUCUAUUUCCUAAAUGUAAAACUUACGCUAAAUCUUAUUGUCUAUGAAGGUCUUAAAAACUUAAAACUAAAUCCCAUUAUCCGGGUCCUGAGAACUUUAAAUUAAAUCCCAUUAUCCAGGAGGAUUCUGAAAAUUUUAAAUUAAGUCCCAUUAUCUAGGAGGGUCCUGAAAAUUUUAAAUUAAGUCCCAUUAUCUAGGAGGGUCCUGAAAAGCCGAGAACGAACUUACCUGAGCCGCGCUCUCUUCCUGGAGGAUCUCUAUAGACCGAACAAAAUUCCUUUCCCCUGAACCACGCUUUUCCUCAUGGAGAGUUCCUGUAGAUCAAACACAUUUUUCUUUCCCCUUCUCAAAUCGCCUUUGUGCUGACAAAAAUUGUGCACGACACUUGAAAAAAUUCAAACUUCCAAGCUUUGAUUUGGACAUAAUUUUCAUCCCUAUUUCAAACAAAGAGAACUUGUGAGCUUAUAAAUAUGGUGGUUGGUUUGUGGCCUUGACUUUGAGGGCGAUUGCUCCUUAACUACCCAUGAUAACUUUGAUUUCCACUCGAAAGACCUUGCUUGUUUAUUGACUAGCUACUUUCUUUGUCACCCUUAUCACGGAAAAUACCUCUAAUCUGUUCAAACCCGAUACCAUUCAUCUGUUGCAGUGUGUUCUUGCAUUGACAUGUACUGAACCUUUGUGUUUCACAUGAAUCCCAAAGUACAUCAAUUGCCAUCCACUCAGUGCGCAUGCUGUUCUUUCCUGACUUAAAACACUGGCCUUGGCCUUGAGGUCUAUUGCUCCUUCACUUGCCAUGAUAACUUUGAUUUCUGCUUGGAAGACCUUGCUUGUCACUGGUUAACCACUUUCUUUGUCAAUCUAUCACAGAAAAUACCUUUGAUCUAUUCCAACCCAACACCCUCUAUCUAUUGCAUUGUUCAUCAAUUGACAUAUACCGAUCCUUUGUAUUUCACGUGAAUCUCAAAGCACGUUGAUUGUUACCAACUCAGUGCGCUUGCUAUUCUUUUCUGGCUUAUGAAACUUUGAUGUGCAUAGCCAGAUCCCGUUUUGUGCAAUUGAAAAGAAUCAGGUCAAACGUAGUUCCCAAAACUACUUUUAUUACUAUUUUCCUUUUCUUUUUCCUUUUUCCCUUUUCCCUUUUUUUAUUUUUUUCUUUCCCCUUUUCUCUUUUUUCUUUUUCUUUUUCUUUUUUUAUCUCUGUUUUUUUUGAAUCUUCAUUUUGGAAUGAACUUCUAAAAUAAACCUAUGGGGACAUGAACUUUUUUUUUCUUUUUUCGUAUGACUCUAACUUGAUUCUAAAAGAGGGAAGGUCAAAGAAAUCAGUACAGGGUCAAAAAGGGUAUCGAAUGUAUAAGUGUUUCUGUAGCUGAAAGAGGGCCUCCCAAUCCCUAAAAAUGGCAAGUACAACACAUGCAACUUGAAAUGAAAAAGGAAUAGCGCGCACAAUGUUUCUUUUACAGCCUUGACAUUGAUAUCAGUGAUAUGAUUUCCAUUCUUUUAGUGACUUGUCAAGUACAGAACCCUCGUUAGGUGAUUCCCUCUUCACAAUGGAUAUCCUCCAUCAAUUCGGAGACAACUUUCUUGACUUUAUCUUGUAACUUGAGAUGCACUUGAACUCAAAGUUUCUUGCUUCAAAUUGUUUGGGAUGCACUCUACUUUAACGAAUUCUUGUCACCCUAUUAACUUCCCAAAUUAUCUGCCCCAGUUUCACAUGGUUUGGGCUUCAAAUGAUCUUAAAAUGUCCAAAUCUGUACUUAUUUCCCUCAAAUGUCCCUAUCAUCUUCAAAAUUGUUUCAUUGCUUCAUGAUUAAACUAACUUUAGAACCAUGCCUAAAAUUAUGCAUGCAUGUCAUGUCAUUAAAUCCAGCAUGAGAAGAAAAACUAUAAAAGGAGAAGAUAACUAAACAAAAAAUGGUUAGAAAUAACAGAAAACAGGAAAUUGCAUUAGACAGACGGUGAAAAGGGUUUGGAUAAUAAGACAAGCAAAAUAAACUGGGGUACAAUCCUGGAACAAAACCAGACAACACUAAACGAGCUACUACGACUAAACAAAACUAGGCAAAAUAAAAGGAUAGAAGGGUUUGAGUCACAAGACAAUAUUCGGAUUACAACCCUGAAAAUAACCCGGACAACAGAAAUAAAAACAAAAUAAACCACCACAACUCCUCCCCGGGCCAACCAAGAAUGGAGUGUCUUUCCAAUUACCAAACACGACAUCUUAGCCACUGAGUUUCGCAUCAACAUUACUAGGACCUUCACAAGUCUCAAUCACAUUGACUUUAGCAAAUUGCAUUUAGGUCCUUUUGCCGGCUCGUUCUUAAGACCAAACUCUGAUAGCGCUGAAAGCUUCGCAGCACGUGGACCUCCGAGGAUCUCAGAAGAAUUCUCAUAUUCCUUUUCAAAACAAAUCAUACCCACCACAUGCGUCUCAUUAUGAACAUGCGAUGGACUUUGGCUAGUGUCUACUGCAUCUGGAUUUUGCACGACAAUGUCACCUGCAUCAAUAAGCUUCUGAAUUACAUUUUUCAGGUGCCAACACUUUUUUGUACUGUGACCCGGGGCACCGGAUCAGUAUGCGCACCUUUGAGAAAAAUCAAACUUCUUUGGCAAAGGGUUUGACAUUUUUAUUUGAAUCGGCUUCAACAUGUCCAAUUGCCUCAACCUUUGGAACAAACUAGCAUAUGAUUCUCCAAUAGGAGUGAAAGCUUUUUCUUUUUUCUAUUGUCUUUUCAGUUUGUAUUCUGGCUUCGGUUGGAACCUUUUGCGAGCAGGUGGCUGAUAUGCUUGAGGGGGCGGGUAAGACAUUUGGGUAAAUGGUGCGGGCCUCGUGGGUGUGGAGCAUAUGGUGGUGCAUUGUGGAUAGGGUACUGGAAAAGUGAUGUACGACUUUGGGGGUUCUAUGGAGAGAAGUAGCAUUGGGGAGGAUCAUCUAGUACACAAGGAUAUCCAUGGGGUCGAUGUCGAGGCUGAAAGCGUUGAGCAAGAAUGCCCAGCGGAUCAUCUUUUCUAUUUCUCUUUCUUCCACCCAAACUUACUGGGAUAUUCUGAAUGUCUUCCAUAGUAUCUUUCAAUGCCGAAUAACUCAUGAUUUUGCCUGACUUGAUUCCCUCUUCUACCAUCUCCCCCAUUUUUACUACAUCAUUAAAAGGUUUACCCAAGGUCAGAAUCAAAUGACUGAAGUAGGUGGGCCCUGAGCUUGUAGGAAAAGCUAAACUAUUUCUUCUUCACCAAUGGGAGGACAGACUCGUGCAGCUUGCUCCCUCCAUCUGAGCCCAAACUCCCUAAAGCUUUCCUCCGGUUUAUUUUCCAUCUUAGAUAGGGAGGAGUGGUCUGAGGUAAUGUCUAAUUUGUAUUGAAAGUGUCGAACAAAAUCUUGAGCCACGUCGCCCAAUGUAUGCCACUUACCGACAUCUUGACGAUUAUGCCAUUCCAAAGCUGCCCCAGUCAAGCUCUUACUGAAAUACGUCAUCAACAAAUCAUCUUUCUCGCCAACACUUCUCAUUUCCCUGCAAUAACCCCUUAGAUGGGCUACCGGAUCUCCACGCCCCUCAUACAAAUUGAACUUCGGCACUUUAAACCCCGCAGGCAGAUGUACAUCAGGGAACAUAUGAAUCUGAUUUCUCAUCCCUUGCAUGCUCCUUAAGGACUGUUCUAUACCUUUCAGCUUCCUGGAUAUUUCAUCUCGCCCUUCUUUUCCUGUGACCUUUUCAUUUUCAGCAUGAGGCUCAUUCCGAGGGCUCUGCUUGUAUGAGUCAAGAACCUUGUGGGCAACUUCUGAGGGGUAAUAUUGGGCAUCACGAGCUUUGAGUGGGUAUUCAUUUUUGGGGAUAGUGGAUAUGACAGGAGGGUAAUUUUGGGGAAAGGUAAUUGGAGGACGAGUGAUGGAGCUACUAAGGUGGUUGGGAAAACUGUGAUAAGCGGGUGGAUCUGGAGAGUAUGGGGGAUCAUCUGGCACUAUGACAGGAGUUCGGGUAAGGGUAGCAUCUAGGAAGCUAGGUGGGGGUGGGGGUGGUACCUUCCCAGUCAUCCAAACCUGAUACAUGUCCGCAAUAUGUUGUCUUAACAUCCUUACCUCUUCAACCAACCCAUCGCCCUGUUCAAGCAAUUACUUUUGGGCACCAGUACCAACCAACUCAAUUCCAUUGCCGUUCAUUGCCUUUCGACCUUAUGUUGUAGAGAAGAGUUACCACUUUAAGAAUCACAAACCAACCACCUUUCUGCUCAAUGAAGAUAACAAAAGGAACAAAAUGGGGACAUCCUGUUAGCAUUAGGGAAUUUAAUAACUAAAAAUCAUAUUGCGUGCAAUGUACCUAGCAACAAUUAACGGUUCUAGAAUGACUUCUAGGGUCACAAGGUCACUUGGCAUCAUCCCAAUUUUGUUCAUUUCAAUCUUCUCUUUCUUUUCUUUUCUAGCAUUUCUUGGCUUGCUCAUUUUCCUUCCUUUCUUUUUCUUACUGACUAUCACUCUUUUCUUUCCUCUCAUUUCUCACGUCCCACAACUUUAUCCUCUUUUUGUCUUUUCUCUUUUUUUUUCUUUUUUUCCCUUUUUCUUUUAAUAAAAUAAAAUUAAGAAAAUGAUUCGAUCGAACCCUAUGUAGGUUGCCUACGUAUCAUGACGCUGCAUGAAUUAGAUCUUUGCGUAGUUCGGGAAGAUCGGGAAUAAAGUAAACAAACCGAUGUUCUCUUUUUUUUCUUUUUUUUCUUUUUACCUUAAUGACUAAUUUGAUGAGAAAAGAGAAACAAAAGAAGCAAAUUUUUUUUCUAGACUGAAUGUUCUAUAACCUACUCUAAACUCAAGCUUAACGAGCAUGUCUUUUGUUUUCUUUUUUUUCUUUUUGAAACAAAUACUCUAUGUAAAAUUAUUAAGGAUAAAACCCUACAAGAGAAAAAUAUUUUUGAUUCUUUUUUUAGGAAGGAAAUCUAAAGAAUAAACCAAAGAAAAAUAUUUUGAAUUUUCACUUGAUAUUCUGAAUAAAAGAUUUCGAAACAAGAAAUGAAAAGAUAAAAAACUAUUUUUUGGAUUUAAAUUUUUGAUUACCUAAGGAAGAAACUCUGAAAAUAAACCAAAGAAAAAGUAUGUUUUUUAUUCUAUGUACAAUAUCCUAAAGUUCUAAUGAAAAUAAGAAAAAGGUUUUUUUUUUUCAUUUUUCACCAAUUUCCCAAAGAAGCACCUCCAAAGAAAAUCUUUUUGGAUUUUUGGAACUAAAAUCUUAAAGAAAACUUUUAAAGUGGUACUAAAAGAAAAUUUUCUUUUAUUUUUUUGAAUUUUUAGUCUUAAUGUACUAAAAGGAAAUAUAAUAGCAAUUUUUAUUUUGAGUUCUAUAUAUUAAUUUCCUAAAGGAAAACCACCUUAAAAGAAUUAGUAUUCUAAUGAAAACUUCUAACAGAAAUAUAAAACGCGAAACCUCUUUUUUUUUGGAUUUUUGAGUUACAGUACACUUUUUCAAAUAUAAAGUAGAAAGUACAAUAAUAAAAGACUCAACGUUACUGUACAAAACUAAAAAGUAAAAGACGACAUAAAAUGAAGAACAUACUCAAAACAUAAAAACUAAAACAAAUCUCCUUAAGCAACUCCUAAAUGAGCGAUCCUAACUGGAUGGUCACGAGAUGUCUGCCAUGCUCAAAUCCCGGUAAGUAGAUCCACACCUGUAUAAAAAAAACUCAAACCAACACUAGGUGAGACAAUAACAUUCCCUAUUGGACACAUGCAAGACAUAAUUGAGGCUAUUUUUGCAAAAUGGCUUAUUUGUCCAAAAGGUGGCAAGAACCUAAGAUUUACUAGGAAGACCGGACCCUAUGUGGGUUGCCUACGUACCACGCCUCAAAAGACGAGAAUCAGGUAUGCGUAGUUCGGACAAAUUGGAUACGGGCGAGAAUUAAAAAAAACACAACUAAUUUAGAGAAAACAUAUUUUUUUGUCUUUGGUUUUUGAAAAAUGAUGAAACAUGUAAACUCUUUUUGGAUUUUCUUUUUCCUUUUUUCUGAUUUUUUUUGUACAAAAUAAUGGGAAAGUGCAAAAUCUUUUUGGAUUUUUCCAUUUUCAUUUUUUGGUCUUUUCUUAAAAAUAAAAUGUGAAAGAAAAACAUAACUAGGUCCUACUUGCUUUAUUUUUUACACUUCACACACUUUUUUCUCAUUUAUCCUCAAACCUCAUUGGUCCGCCAAAUGACCUCGUUUACCCUUGAAAAUUGUAACAUGUAGCACAUAAGAUGCAACAUGAUAGUCUUUUAUUUUUUGGGUACACCUAUCCUAGACGGACCCAACCCCUAUAUUGAGUCCCCAAAGUCAAAUGCACGUGAUGCAAACAAGCGUUCCUACUAGGGAUCCGGCAUGAGGGUGUGUUAUUCUAAGUUUAAAACCUGGGUGUAUUGUUCUAGACCUGGCUUACCCGAGCGGACAACUCGAGUCGGGGGGGGGGGGGGCAGCGUACCGGUAACCAAAAGAUCAUCCAGCUUUGCAACUUGUCCGAACCUUAUUCUAAAUUGGGAUAUGACACUAACAGAAAGAAGUCACGCCAGCGUGCCCUCCUCAGAAGAUAGAAGAAAGGGGUUUCGUAGCAGUUUAUAUAUACAGAUCAUAUAAUAUCAAAGCGGUAAGCAACAUUUAGCACAUUAGGCCUAAACAUGUAGAUAAAAUCAAACAAUAAAUAAAGCCAAAUAUAACAAUUAUUAUAAGCUCGAAUUCUUGAACCUCGAACCAGAGAUUCUGGGUUUGAUCUCCAGCAGAGUCACCAGAGCUGUCACACCUCCUUUUACCUACCCCGCAGAAGGGUGUAAGGGAGUUUUUUUUUCCAAUUUAAGUGACAAUCAAAACGAGAUUAUUUAUAUUAAAUUCAGAGUUGCCACUUGAGAUAAUUUAUGGUGUCCCAAGUCACUGGUUUAAAUCCCGAAUUGAGGAAUUUUGACUCUGUUUUACAGUCCGCAAACACAAAAAUCCGGGUAAGGAAUUCUGUUAACCCGAGAGAAUGUGUUAGGCAUUUCCGGGUUCCGUGGUUUUAGCACGGUCGCUCAACUAUUAUUAUUUGCUUAAUUAUCUGAUUUUAAAAUAUCUUUAAAACCUAUGUGCAUUUUUAUUCCUUCUGAACUGCUUUUAAUAAAUUAGUGUUACAUAUUGCGAAUCAUGUCAUGGGAACCGUACCCAUGAUCUACAACAUGUUUAUUUUAUUAACAAGAUUAAAUGUGGCCGGGUCACAUAAAUGUAACCCCAGAUUUAGAAAUUAGGUGUCACAACUACGUCACGGGAACCGUACCCGUAGCUAUGACAAUUUAUUAAUCGCACCUAAAACAAGCUGCGCAUUUAAAAUAUUUGAACUAAACUUUGGGAUUAUUAUGCAACCCAACAUGCUUUUUUUUUUUAAAAAAAAAAUCCAAACCAAUCCUACAGCUCCUUAAAGCUAACAAAUAAUAGUCCAUUACAAAAAAUUCAAUUAGCACUAUUUUGUUAGACGCAAACCAUACGGCCUUUAAAAAGAAAAUGAAGAUACAGAAACAUUGGCAACAAAUUGCACACAAUCUCAAACUCAUAUGAUACCAAACGAUUUUCAACCAAAAUCUCUGCCAUGAUUUUUGUGUAAAUAGCAAUGUCAAAAGUAAAAGACUAUACAACUAUUGAAAUAAGGACUCUCGCAAUAAAUAUUUCAUACAGAAAUUGGCGAUAGGACCAAGGCCUUCUUUAUUGUGCUUUUUUCAUAUGAACAUUUAAUGUAAUACUUAGAAGAAGUAAAAAGAAAAGAUAGCUACUAUGUUAGGCUGCUAAUGGUAUUUUAAUGACAAUAAAGUAUUGAAAGUAAAAUUUUAAAAGUCUUACCUAGCAUGUUUCUGUCUCAAACAACCAGCCAAAUGAUUGGAAUCCAAGAAACAAGAUAAGUUUAAUAAUAUUAUUAAGUUGAAAUAAUAAAAAAAAUGGAGUACUAUGUUUUCAAAAUAUUAACAAAAUUAAAAAAAAAACUAGUAAUCAACAAUGAAGUAUGUGCAUCUUAAUAUACCAAAUAAGAAGACAAUCCACCUAGGAAAUUGCAGAAAUUUUAUCAACAAGAAAGAUCCAAAAAAUUACGGAAAAGAAGGGUAAAUUGCAAAAGAAAAUACCAGAGAAAAUAACGAACUCAGCUGCUUUCCUUUUAAUUAGCGAAAUUCAAUUACGGCAAACUUUGGUGAGCUAGAUGCGAAUGGAGGAUGGAAAACAGGGACUAGCCUGAACCGCGAACUUCGUCGGCAACCUCGAACUCGGGACCUCUCGCACGGGAACUCGCCGACGACUUCGCCAUGGAUUCUACCAUUUUUAGCGUGAUGAAAGGGCUGUUUUGGAGCUGAUUUUCAGAGCAGUUUUUAGCAGUUUUUUUAGCUUCGUUUUGAGAAAAUUUAAACUGCAUUUUUGGCUCAAUUUUGUGACUGUUCUUCAGCUCGUUUUGGGUGAGGUUUGGGGCUGUAAUGGGAUAGUUCGGAGGUUCUUUUUGGGUCAUUUGUUUAGCAGCUUUUGGACCGGUUUUGCAGCAUGAUUUUCACUGCUUCUCUGAGCUGCUUUUGUUGCGUUCUUGAACUGUUUUUCUGGUGGAAACAGGGGCUGUUCGGGUGAGGUUUUUUGCGUGAUUUUCCGGCUAUUUUUGGGCUAAGGGAGUUUGUUUAUGGAUGAGGAAGAAGGCAGCAGCAGCUACUGCUUUUUUGUUUUCAUAUGGACAUUUAAUGUAAUACUCAAAAGAAGUAAAAAGAAAAGAUAGCUACUAUGUUAGGCUGCUAAUGGUAUUUUAAUGACAAUAAAGUAUUGAAAGCAAAUUUUUAAAAGUCUUACCUAGCAUGUUUCUGUCUCAAACAACCAACCAAAUGAUUGGAAUCCAAGAAACAAGAUAAGUUCAACAAUAUUAUUAAGUUGAAAUAAUAAAAGAAAUGGAGUACUAAGUUUUAAAAAUAUUAACAAAAUUAAAAAACAAACAAUCAAACCAAUAAUCAACAAUGAAGUACGUACAUCUUAAUAUGCCAAAAAAGAAGACAAUCCGCCCAGGAAAUUGCAGAAAGUUUAUCAACAAGAAAGAUCCAAAAAAUUACGAAAAAUAAGGGUAAAUUACAGAAGAAAAUACCAGAGAAAAUAACGAACUCAGCUGCUUUCCUUUUAAUUAGUGAAAUUCAAUUAUGGAAAACUUUGGUGAGCUAGAUGCGAAUGGAGGAUGGAAAACAGGGACUAGCUUGAACCGCGAACCUCGUCGACAACCUCGAACUCGGGACCUCUCGCACGGGAACUCGCCGGCGACUUCGCCAUGGAUUCUACCAUUUUUAGUGUGAUGAAAGGGCUAUUUUGGAGCUGAUUUUCAGAGCAGUUUUUAGCAGUUUUUUAUCUUCGUUUCGAGAAAAUUUAAACUACGUUUUUUGCUCAAUUUCAUGACUGUUCUUCAGCUUGUUUUGGGUGAGGUUUGGGGAUGUAAUGGGAUGGUUCAGAGGUGCUUUUCGGGUCAUUUUUUUAGUAGCUGUUGGACCUGUUUUGUAGCAUGAUUUUCGCUGCUUUCGUUGCGUUCUUGAACUAGUUUUCUGGUGGAAACAGGGGUUGUUCGGGUGAGGUUUUUUGCGUGAUUUUCCGGUUAGUUUUCGGGCUAAGGGAUGUUGUUUAUGGAGGAGGAAGAAGGCAGCAGCAACUGCUGCAUUUUUUGCCGCAAACAGCUGUGAUUUUUCUUUCAAAUGCUGUUGAAAAUCUUGGGUUUUGAGAAUGGCUGAAGCUUUUGUAAUUGGGGGUGAGGGAUUUUUGGUUUGGUUGUUGAUGAAGAAGAUGGAUGGGGGAGGGUGUUUUCUGAUUUUGUUCAGUUGCUUGUCAGUCUCUUUUAGGUCUCUUAGGCGUGUUUUUUUAAGCUAUUUUCAGCUGCUAGGUACUUAUAUGUAGAUGUCUAGGGUUUAAUUAAAGGGUAGGGGUGUUAGGAUAAGAGUUAAUUUUGGGGCAAUGAGGUAGACAAAGCAAAAAUUGAUGUGAUUUCAA